RNAcentral lists this ribosomal RNA (293 nucleotides) under uncultured bacterium. RNAcentral's name for it is "partial 16S ribosomal RNA". It matches the Rfam family "Bacterial small subunit ribosomal RNA", at positions 775 to 1067 of the family's 1533-position model. The record is from RNAcentral.
GGAUUAGAUACCCUGGUAGUCCACACCGUAAACGAUGGAUGUUAGAUGUUGGGGGUUUACCCUCAGUAUUGUAGCUAACGCGUUAAACAUCCCGCCUGGGGAGUACGGUCGCAAGAUUAAAACUCAAAGGAAUUGACGGGGACCCGCACAAGCGGUGGAGCAUGUGGUUUAAUUCGAUGCUACGCGAAAAACCUUACCAGGACUUGACAUGUAUUGGAACCUUUAGAGAAAUCUAUUGGGUGGAGCAAUCCACUGAUACACAGGUGUUGCAUGGCUGUCGUCAGCUCGUGCCG